Molecule: long non-coding RNA, 882 nt
Organism: Rhineura floridana
Lineage: Eukaryota; Metazoa; Chordata; Lepidosauria; Squamata; Rhineuridae
Exons: 2
Source: RefSeq, a predicted model, not a curated record
CCUCAGCACAGAGACACUCCAGUUCUUUCACUGCAGGACCUGAUCCACACAACCAUCUCACCAAAGAUGUCUUAUGGAUGGAACCCGUGCUACUCCAGCUGCCCUCCCUCCACCGUGACCAUUCAGCCACCACCCUUUGUCCUGACCAUCCCUGGGCCAGCACUCUACUGCCCUGACCAGCCGCUUUGCAUCGAUCAAUACAACCCUUGUGAGCGUAUGAUCCCCUACAAGGGGGGCGUGAGUUCCACAAGCAUCUAUUCUCACAAAUAUCAGUCCAAAAGCCAGAGAGGAUGCAGCCCUUGCCAGCAAUACUAAAUCCGGAAGCCACCAUCCAUAGAAUGAAUAUGAUGAAGAGAUAUAUGAAGGAAGAAACCAAGAUGUUUGAUCUGCUGAAUGUGAAGGCAUUCUAGAAAUGCCUGUUUAACAUCUGCACUCCUUGCAUUAUAGGCCAGGAAAGAAGCUGUCUCCCUCCCUUUUCUGCAUCUGCUGAGAAACUCAGGUGCAGCUGUCAUCAACAACAGUGCAACACUUCAGAUUCUGGGUCAUGGUCUAGGGGCACCUUCUUUUCUUCUUGGGCACUGGUGAAGCUGGUGUGGUCUCACUGUUACCCUGAUUAUGUUCAAAAUGUGCCUCAGAUUAAAUCCAGUGUUCCUCUGUGGUUGCAAUUGUUGGGGAAGACAGGUGGGUGGGUCAUCCUAGGUUCACAUACAACCAUUGAAUCCUAUUUUGUUUUUAAAAUCUAGUGCAUUGCUUAAAACAAUUUCAAGUAAGCUUUGUUCAGUGUUCUCUGUAUUCCUUUAAGUGGAGCGUGAAUAAGCACUUCUGUGCUAUAUGAAAAUUCAAACUGUGGAAUUUCAAAAUAAAGUCCUUACUGCAUCAAAA